RNAcentral lists this ribosomal RNA (403 nucleotides) under uncultured bacterium. RNAcentral describes it as "bacterial SSU rRNA". It matches the Rfam family "Bacterial small subunit ribosomal RNA", at positions 355 to 775 of the family's 1533-position model. The record is from RNAcentral.
UGGGGAAUCUUGCGCAAUGGGCGAAAGCCUGACGCAGCCAUGCCGCGUGAACGAUGAAGGCCUUAGGGUUGUAAAGUUCUUUUGCCCGUGACGAUGAUGACGGUAACGGGAGAAUAAGCUCCGGCUAACUUCGUGCCAGCAGCCGCGGUAAUACGAAGGGGGCUAGCGUUGUUCGGAAUUACUGGGCGUAAAGCGCGCGCAGGCGGUUUGAUAAGUUGGGGGUGAAAUCCCUGGGCUCAACCCAGGAAUGGCCUUCAAGACUGUUGAGCUAGAGGACGAGAGAGGUGAGUGGAAUUCCCAGUGUAGAGGUGAAAUUCGUAGAUAUUGGGAAGAACACCGGUGGCGAAGGCGGCUCACUGGCUCGUUUCUGACGCUGAGGCGCGAAAGCGUGGGGAGCAAACAG